RNAcentral lists this ribosomal RNA (203 nucleotides) under Pseudolactococcus piscium. Its description in RNAcentral is "Lactococcus piscium partial 16S ribosomal RNA". It matches the Rfam family "Bacterial small subunit ribosomal RNA", at positions 327 to 523 of the family's 1533-position model. The record is from RNAcentral. Lineage: Bacteria; Bacillati; Bacillota; Bacilli; Lactobacillales; Streptococcaceae.
CGGUCCAGACUCCUACGGGAGGCAGCAGUAGGGAAUCUUCGGCAAUGGACGAAAGUCUGACCGAGCAACGCCGCGUGAGUGAAGAAGGUUUUCGGAUCGUAAACUCUGUUGUUAGAGAAGAACGUUGUGUAGAGUGGAAAUUACACAAGUGACGGUAUCUAACCAGAAAGGGACGGCUAACUACGUGCCAGCAGCCGCGGUAA